GCCGAGCAGGGCCGCGCAGGAGGCGGCGACGCCGUCCUGCACGGCGGCGGUGAAGCCGUCGCGGGCGGCGUCGAUCGCGGCGCCCUGCUCGGCG
This 94-nucleotide transfer RNA is filed under the name Micromonospora sonchi. RNAcentral describes it as "tRNA-Gln". The record is from RNAcentral. Lineage: Bacteria; Bacillati; Actinomycetota; Actinomycetes; Micromonosporales; Micromonosporaceae.